This 1007-nucleotide ribosomal RNA is filed under the name Peribacillus simplex. RNAcentral describes it as "bacterial SSU rRNA". It matches the Rfam family "Bacterial small subunit ribosomal RNA", at positions 77 to 1054 of the family's 1533-position model. Lineage: Bacteria; Bacillati; Bacillota; Bacilli; Caryophanales; Bacillaceae. The record is from RNAcentral.
AGCUUGCUCCCUGAGAUUAGCGGCGGACGGGUGAGUAACACGUGGGCAACCUGCCUAUAAGACUGGGAUAACUUCGGGAAACCGGAGCUAAUACCGGAUACGUUCUUUUCUCGCAUGAGAGAAGAUGGAAAGACGGUUUACGCUGUCACUUAUAGAUGGGCCCGCGGCGCAUUAGCUAGUUGGUGAGGUAAUGGCUCACCAAGGCGACGAUGCGUAGCCGACCUGAGAGGGUGAUCGGCCACACUGGGACUGAGACACGGCCCAGACUCCUACGGGAGGCAGCAGUAGGGAAUCUUCCGCAAUGGACGAAAGUCUGACGGAGCAACGCCGCGUGAACGAAGAAGGCCUUCGGGUCGUAAAGUUCUGUUGUUAGGGAAGAACAAGUACCAGAGUAACUGCUGGUACCUUGACGGUACCUAACCAGAAAGCCACGGCUAACUACGUGCCAGCAGCCGCGGUAAUACGUAGGUGGCAAGCGUUGUCCGGAAUUAUUGGGCGUAAAGCGCGCGCAGGUGGUUCCUUAAGUCUGAUGUGAAAGCCCACGGCUCAACCGUGGAGGGUCAUUGGAAACUGGGGAACUUGAGUGCAGAAGAGGAAAGUGGAAUUCCAAGUGUAGCGGUGAAAUGCGUAGAGAUUUGGAGGAACACCAGUGGCGAAGGCGACUUUCUGGUCUGUAACUGACACUGAGGCGCGAAAGCGUGGGGAGCAAACAGGAUUAGAUACCCUGGUAGUCCACGCCGUAAACGAUGAGUGCUAAGUGUUAGAGGGUUUCCGCCCUUUAGUGCUGCAGCUAACGCAUUAAGCACUCCGCCUGGGGAGUACGGCCGCAAGGCUGAAACUCAAAAGGAAUUGACGGGGGGCCCGCACAAGCGGGUGGAGCAUGUGGGUUUAAUUCGAAGCAACCCCGAAGAACCUUACCAGGGCUUGGCAUCCUCCUGACAACCCUAAAAGAAAGGGGUUUUCCCCUUUCGGGGGACAAAAAUGACAGGUGGGUGCAUUGGUUGUCC